Long non-coding RNA from Chrysemys picta bellii (western painted turtle), 2847 nucleotides. The record is from Ensembl. Lineage: Eukaryota; Metazoa; Chordata; Testudines; Emydidae.
AUGGCUUCUUGGCUUUCCAAACCAGGACACUUAGAAAACCUUACAAUGUCUCAGAACGUCAUUCAGGAAAUAGGCCCCCAUAUGUUGUCCAGUUUCUCUAACCUGACAACCCUUAAUUUAGCUAGCAACAGAAUUCAUAUGAUUGCGGGUGGAAGUUUGAAGAAUUUGUCUAAGCUAACUUUUAUUGAUCUAUCUGGUAAUAACUUAUCUACCUUAACAAGAAAUGUGUUCAGUGGGCUGAUGUCUCCAAUAAUGAAACUGGGAGACAAUCCAUGGAACUGUUCCUGUGAACUUGAAGAUUUUGGAUUUUUUUUGCAAGAGCUGAUGAAUACUUCUGUGUUGGAAGAUGCUUCAUCUGUGGUGUGUCAGAGCCCACAAGCCCUGAAGGGUAUUCCAGUUUGGAACAUCUCUGACUUUAACUGCCCGCCUAUUCUCAUAUCACCAUCACUUGAGAAUGACUUCUAUAAAGUUGGAUUGCCAGCGAUGCUUCUAUGUUUAGUGUUAUUUUCAUUUCUUUUGCUGCUUCUCCUGCUCUGGAAGGUGAAACAAGGUAAAAAGCAAGUGCAGCCAGGUAAAGAAGCUACUGUUGAAAAUAGCCAUGACAAACUAACAGGCCACCUUAACAAGAUGACAGAGAGACUGAGGCGCAGAGGACUGUCGGAUGAAAAGGGACAGACAACAGUGAAAAUUGACAAAACCCUACAAAAUAGAAUGCAGAAAACUCGUGCAAAAUCUGCCUCGCCAAUUCUGUUGAGAACUGAGUUUCAACACAGUAGUUCUCAACACCAUAGACCAACUGAUGGGAACCAGGAACAACCCAAAACCUCUUGUACAGUAAUAAAUGAACAAGCCUGCAUGAAAAAUGAAGACUGCAACAAUGUUAUGGAACUGUGGUAUUUUAAUAGCUUGAAAGAUUGCAAUAAAAAGGCUAUGCGUACUCACAAUGCAAACACUUCACCAACUGAACUAUGCAUAGAAAUCCCGAAAAAGGAUAGUUCAGAAAUAUUAAAGCAGUCAUUGCAGGACCAUGGAAUUUCAGAAGUGUGUUGGAAUGAUGAAAUUAAAGGAAGGGGUAAUACGGAGAACGCUGAACCUCUGUUGUAUUUAAGUGUUGCUAGUACAACUGAAGAGUCACCUAGUGUACCUGGCACUGAACAAAAAGAUGCUGUGAGUAGAAAUGUAAAUACGAGGCUGUGUUCUUUGAGAAGAGUUCUUACUUGGCCAUAUGAAAAAUGCAAAAGGGACGAAAGCCAAAACACUUUAAAUUCAGAGGAUUUUUUCAAGGCACGUUUCUGUAUGCUCACCAGUGAUCCUGGUGUCUCAGCAGCAGUCAGAAAAACAGAAUUCAAAGAUGAACAAAAUCAGUAUAAUCUUCAUCUACAUACUGUAAAGGAACAAAAGGCAAUUCAUGAUUACAGCAGCAGUAAACCUAACUUAAAGAGAGAAGCAAAACCAGCAAACAAAUUAGUAUCUCCACUUAAGAAAGGACCUAAUCAAAUAGCCAAAAUGGAAAAUGCAUGCAUGUCAGUGCCUGGGAAAGGAUUCAGAGGCUCUGAGACUGUAAAAAAGAAUAAGAAUAACAAAGAUAUACCUUCGCAGUCUGGAUUCUGCAAUGACAGUCUUCACUCGCCAGCAUCCUCAGACAAAUCUGGUCACACCUCCUCCCCAUGUGAUAAUACAUUACUCGAAAAUAAUGAAUACACCUUCAUUGAUCUUUUGCAUGAAGUCGUGGAAAAUCGUGGGAGGUGGACCAGGCAGAGGUGGAAGCAGACCCAUCAAGUGCGAAUUGCUAGCCACCCGCCAAUGAAAUCAAAGUAAAUUAAUUGCACUCUGUCAAAAAAUGUUCCAUGUGCUAUAGGCUGCCUGUUUUAACCAAAAUUGUUGUUGUUAUAACAUUUCAUUAGUGGUGACACAUGCCAGACUUGACAGUACUGGAAGCUAAAAUCCUCUAUUCUAGAUACUUCAGGAGCAAUGCAAACUGCACCAUAUUGCACUUCCAGAAUGCCUUAACCAUAUUUUGAAAAAGCAACUUCUAAGGAUGAGAGGGGACUUUUCUCCAUGGCCCAGUCAAUUCGUGGUGCCAAAAAGGGUGACACAUGUCAUGAAGGUUUUUUGUGAUGUGAUCAUUUAUUUACAGGGAGCUUGACUCAGACCCACCAAACUCAUUUCAUCUAGGCAACCAAACAGCUUUCAGAUGAGUCAUGAGUUUUGAUCAGUAAUCAUCUAGGGUAAAUUUUCCAAAAAUACCCAAGAGAUUUGCAUACUGAAGUCCCAUUGAAAGUAGAUAUGACUUGGGUACCUAAGUUACUUAGCACUUUUGAAAAUUUUAUCUCUAGGCUGGUUUUAAACCAGGUAUGUAGAAGACUCCAAAUCCCAUUACUCACCCCCCUGAAAUAACCCAUAUCAUUACUGGUUUUGAUUCAAGCAUUCCACUAAGUAGGCAAAUUUAUUAAUUAUCCCUAGAAUUUUCCAGCUGCCUAGAAACGGAUAGUUCAUGGAGUAUGGAGCCUUUCAGCUCUGGAUAUUGAUUUGCUCUACUCAUUGGCAGAGACCAUUAGUAUCCAGGGUUAUCAAUCUGGCAUAUUCAUGAGCAUCUAAAAUUAAUGUAAAAUUUUCAAUUUACUUGCACAAAAUAUGAAAUGUUAACGUGUAUCAUGUCAUAAUGGGUUAUACCCCCUUAAAUGGAUUGCUAAUUGUGCGUGCACGCUCUCUCUCUCAUAUAUAUAUAUAUAUACUAUUUUUUUCUUAUUAGUAAUAAGUCUUUUUGGUAGGUUUUACACACUGUAUUUUCAAUUAAUAAUUUAUAUUAUGGCUAAUAAACCAUGUAACUAGAAAUGUUUGUCUACA